AACGAACGCUGGCGGCAUGCCUAACACAUGUAAGUCGAACGAGAUCCUUCGGGGUCUAGUGGCGCACGGGUGCGGAACGCGUGGGAAUCUGCCCUUAGGUUCGGAAUAACAGUUAGAAAUGACUGCUAAUACCGGAUGAUGACGUUAAGUCCAAAGAUUUAUCGCCUGAGGAUGAGCCCGCGUAGGAUUAGCUAGUUGGUGUGGUAAAGGCGCACCAAGGCGACGAUCCUUAGCUGGUCUGAGAGGAUGAUCAGCCACACUGGGACUGAGACACGGCCCAGACUCCUACGGGAGGCAGCAGUGGGGAAUAUUGGACCAUGGGCGCAAGCCUGAUCCAGCAAUGCCGCGUGAGUGAUGAAGGCCUUAGGGUUGUAAAGCUCUUUUACCCGGGAUGAUAAUGACAGUACCGGGAGAAUAAGCCCCGGCUAACUCCGUG
This 436-nucleotide ribosomal RNA is filed under the name uncultured bacterium. RNAcentral's name for it is "partial 16S ribosomal RNA". It matches the Rfam family "Bacterial small subunit ribosomal RNA", at positions 29 to 507 of the family's 1533-position model. The record is from RNAcentral.